AUUUAAUACAACUUGUGUCAAUUCUUUCUCUAUGUUUCUUGUAUGACUUUAGUAAUACUUGCUUUAUCUACUUCUCUUGCUUUCACUUGUUACAUCAAAGACAUGAAUUCAUCCAAAAUCAUCUGAAUCCUCUUACAAUGAUCAAUGUCACAUACAAAUUUGUAUCAACCCACAUGUGCAAAAUAGAGAAAAACUGAAAGAGGGGAAGAACAAGAGAGGCAAGAACAAGGGAGAAAUUACAAGCUCUGUCUCAUAUUCAUUCCAUCGUUGUAAAAUCCGUUCGGCCACCGUCAGUUAUUAAUCAAUAUCACCGAGCUUCUGCCGUCGAGGUUAGGAAUUAAAACACCGUCGUGCGGUUUUACAACAACGACGAAAGUUGAAAUAGAUGCAAUAUUGGGUAGCAGCCUUCUCUGGUGAGCGUCGCAAAGUAGAAGGGAGCCAUGUUUUCCGGUGACCAUCGUGAGAAGUGAGAAGAAGAGAAUAUGGUAGCAUCCAUCGUGAGAAGAAGAAGAGAAUAGGGUUUUUUUAUUUUUAAUUUUUAAAAUAAUUGAUUAUUAAAUCUGAGCCAUUCAUUUUCAUUUUUCCAUGUGUCAACUGGUUAUGAAAAGAAAAGGAGAUUGCCAUUAAU
RNAcentral lists this long non-coding RNA (628 nucleotides) under Trifolium pratense (red clover). Its description in RNAcentral is "long non-coding RNA (TPRA_LNC013386)". Lineage: Eukaryota; Viridiplantae; Streptophyta; Magnoliopsida; Fabales; Fabaceae. The record is from RNAcentral.